GUAAUCACUUGUCCCCUAAAUAGAGACCAGUAUGAACGGCUAAAUGAAAACAAACCUGUCUCCUGAGACCAAUCAGUGAAACUGAUCUCCCAGUCCAAAAGCUGGGAUCAAAACAUAAGACGAGAAGACCCUGUGGAGCUUAAAGUCCCACACUAAUCUACACAAUAAACGAACUAGUGUAAGACUUUAAGUUGGGGCGACUUCGGAACAAAGCAAAACUUCCGAGCACAGAACCACCCGCUUCUAACCAAGGCCAACAGGCCGAAGCACAACUUGACCCAGUCAUACUGACCAACGAACCAAGUUACCCCAGGGAUAACAGCGCUAUCUUCUUCAAGAGUCCCUAUCGACAAGAAGGUUUACGACCUCGAUGUUGGAUCAGGACACCCAAAUGGUGCAGCCGCUAUUAAAGGUUCGUUUGUUCAACGAUUAAUAGU
This 437-nucleotide ribosomal RNA is filed under the name Sphenomorphus apalpebratus. RNAcentral's name for it is "partial 16S ribosomal RNA". It matches the Rfam family "Bacterial large subunit ribosomal RNA", at positions 1961 to 2594 of the family's 2925-position model. Lineage: Eukaryota; Metazoa; Chordata; Lepidosauria; Squamata; Scincidae. The record is from RNAcentral.